Molecule: ribosomal RNA, 497 nt
Filed under: uncultured bacterium
Lineage: Bacteria
Description: partial 16S ribosomal RNA
Rfam family: Bacterial small subunit ribosomal RNA
Source: RNAcentral
GAUGAACGCUGGCGGCGUGCCUAAUACAUGCAAGUCGAGCGAACAGACGAGGAGCUUGCUCCUCUGACGUUAGCGGCGGACGGGUGAGUAACACGUGGAUAACCUACCUAUAAGACUGGGAUAACUUCGGGAAACCGGAGCUAAUACCGGAUAACAUGUUGAACCGCAUGGUUCAACAGUGAAAGACGGUUUUGCUGUCACUUAUAGAUGGAUCCGCGUCGCAUUAGCUAGUUGGUAAGGUAACGGCUUACCAAGGCAACGAUGCGUAGCCGACCUGAGAGGGUGAUCGGCCACACUGGAACUGAGGCACGGUCCAGACUCCUACGGGAGGCAGCAGUAGGGAAUCUUCCGCAAUGGGCGAAAGCCUGACGGAGCAACGCCGCGUGAGUGAAGAAGGUCUUCGGAUCGUAAAACUCUGUUAUUAGGGAAGAACAAAUGUGUAAGUAACUAUGCACGUCUUGACGGUACCUAAUCAGAAAGCCACGGCUAACUACGUG